GACGAACGCUGGCGGCGUGCCUAACACAUGCAAGUCGAACGGUACUGUUUUGAUAGAUUUCUUCGUAAUGAAUUUGAUUUAGUUUAGUGGCGGACGGGUGAGUAACGCGUUUGUAACCUGCCCUCAAGAUGGGAAUAACAUUCUGCAAAGAAUGCUAAUACCGCAUGACAUAUCGUAACCACAUGGUUUUGAUAUCAAAGAUUUUAUCGCUUGAAGAUGGACUCGCGUCCGUUUAGUCAGUUGGUGAGGUACCGUCUCACCAAGACCGCGAUCGGUAGCCGGACUGAGAGGUUGAACGGCCACAUUGGGACUGAGACACGGCCCAGACUCCUACGGGAGGAAGCAGUGGGGGAUAUUGCGCAAUGGGGGCAAACGGGACGAAGCAACGCCGCGUGAAGGAUGAAGGUGUUCGGAAUGUAAGCUUCUUUUAUUAAGGACGAAAAAUGACGGUACUUAAUGAAUAAGCGCCGGCUAACUACGUG
RNAcentral lists this ribosomal RNA (482 nucleotides) under uncultured bacterium. RNAcentral's name for it is "partial 16S ribosomal RNA". It matches the Rfam family "Bacterial small subunit ribosomal RNA", at positions 28 to 507 of the family's 1533-position model. The record is from RNAcentral.